CAGCAGCCGCGGUAAUACGAAGGGGGCUAGCGUUGCUCGGAAUUACUGGGCGUAAAGGGAGCGUAGGCGGGUCGUUUAGUCAGAGGUGAAAUCACGGGGCUCAACCUCGGAACUGCCUUUGAUACUGGCGACCUUGAGUAUGGGAGAGGUGAGUGGAACUCCGAGUGUAGAGGUGAAAUUCGUAGAUAUUCGGAAGAACACCAGUGGCGAAAGCGACUCACUGGCCCAUUACUGACGCUGAGGCUCGAAAGCGUGGGGAACAAACAGGAUUAGAUACCCGAGUAGUCCCUGUCUCUUAUAA
Molecule: ribosomal RNA, 301 nt
Filed under: uncultured bacterium
Lineage: Bacteria
Description: partial 16S ribosomal RNA
Rfam family: Bacterial small subunit ribosomal RNA
Source: RNAcentral